UGCCAGCAGCCGCGGUAAUACGGAGGGUGCGAGCGUUGUCCGGAAUCACUGGGCGUAAAGGGCGCGUAGGCGGUCUGCUAAGCGUGCGGUGAAAGCCUGGGGCUCAACCCCAGGUCUGCCGUGCGAACUGGUGGACUAGAGCACUGUAGAGGCGAGUGGAAUUCCGGGUGUAGCGGUGGAAUGCGUAGAGAUCCGGAAGAACACCGGUGGCGAAGGCGGCUCGCUGGGCAGUAGCUGACGCUGAUGCGCGACAGCGUGGGGAGCAAACAGGAUUAGAUACCCUGGUAGUCCACGCCGUAAACGAUGGGGACUAGGUGCUUGGGGGAGCGACCCCUCGAGUGCCGGCGCUAACGCAUUAAGUCCCCCGCCUGGGGAGUACGGCCGCAAGGCUGAAACUCAAAGGAAUUGACGGGGGCCCGCACA
Molecule: ribosomal RNA, 423 nt
Filed under: uncultured bacterium
Lineage: Bacteria
Description: bacterial SSU rRNA
Rfam family: Bacterial small subunit ribosomal RNA
Source: RNAcentral